Molecule: long non-coding RNA, 903 nt
Organism: Suricata suricatta (meerkat)
Lineage: Eukaryota; Metazoa; Chordata; Mammalia; Carnivora; Herpestidae
Exons: 2
Source: RefSeq, a predicted model, not a curated record
UCGGCGGCGGGAGGCAGCACUUACCGCCGCGGGGACGCGGGACUCCGGCUCCGGGCCGCUGGGGAGUCGCACGCGAGGGGGUACCUCCCUCCGCCGUCCGCGGGCGCCGGGCCCUCGGCCACUCAUCGGGGCGCCCUCUUGGGGUCGCUGCGUGGUUGCCAAAGUACGAUCCCGACCCCGGGGCUCUUGGGAUCUCAGCGCCAACAGAACUCGACCUGGGCCCGCGACAGGGGCCGGCGACGGUUCCCGGGGUUCCUGCAGCACCAGGGGGGAGGCGCCAGGCGCUGGAGCCCCGCAGGCACCCGAACCCGGCCCGCCGUUUGCAAAGCAGCUGAGGCGGGAGCGGAGGAGGCCGGCUGGCGGGGGCGGAGACACCGGAAGUUGGCGCGCAGGCGCAGUGCGCAGCACGUGCCUCCACCUGCCCGGCGUGUCUCAUUAGCAUGUUAAGUCUCCACCCCUGGCGGCCGCGAACCUACGGUAAGGGGGACGGAGCUAGCUGGUGAAGGGCCGGCUCGGGUCGGUCUAGGCGCAGGCCGGUUUGGUCCAGUUUCCUCUGCGGAGUUCCUUCUGGCAAACAUCCUGCUUCCGCAUUCCUAGGAGUGACAAAUGCCUGAGGCAAGUAGAGUGUGACACGUCUCCAGCACCUCCCCACCGUCUUCGUGUUCCUGUCUUACUGGAGGGAAAACCACCGUGGCCUGACCAUGGCCUGACCAUUGCCGGGGCUCCGGUAUUUUAAGAGCCUUCUGUAGCACAUGCAAGUCCUUUCGGGGGCCUCCCUCUCUUUUGGCUUUACCUCCCCCAACCCCACAGUGUAUAGGCACUCACUCCUCACAGCCCCGGUCCUGACUCUUUUGCCCACGGGUCCGUCCCUGGGCUUUAAUAAAAUCACCUUUUUGCACCAAA